CCUACGGGAGGCAGCAGUGAGGAAUAUUGGUCAAUGGAGGCAACUCUGAACCAGCCAUGCCGCGUGCAGGAUGACGGCCYUAUGGGUUGUAAACUGCUUUUAUAUAGGAAGAAACCUCUUYUACGUGUAGAGAGCUGACGGUACUAUAAGAAUAAGGACCGGCUAACUCCGUGCCAGCAGCCGCGGUAAUACGGAGGGUCCAAGCGUUAUCCGGAUUUAUUGGGUUUAAAGGGUACGUAGGCGGAAAAUUAAGUCAGUAGUGAAAGCCCAUCGCUCAACGAUGGAACUGCUAUUGAUACUGGUUUUCUUGAAUAUACUUGAAGUGGGCGGAAUACGACAUGUAGCGGUGAAAUGCAUAGAGAUGUCGUAGAACACCGAUUGCGAAGGCAGCUCACUAAGGUAUUAUUGACGCUAAUGUACGAAAGCGUGGGGAGCGAACAGGAUUAGAUACCCUGGUAGUCCACGCCGUAAACUAUGAUUACUCGGUGUCGGCGACAUACUGUCGGUGCCUAAGCGAAAGUGAUAGGUAAUCCACCUGGGGAGUACGAUCGCAAGGUUGAAACUCAAAAGGAAUUGACGGGG
RNAcentral lists this ribosomal RNA (582 nucleotides) under uncultured bacterium. RNAcentral's name for it is "bacterial SSU rRNA". It matches the Rfam family "Bacterial small subunit ribosomal RNA", at positions 338 to 918 of the family's 1533-position model. The record is from RNAcentral.